This 322-nucleotide ribosomal RNA is filed under the name uncultured Anaerolineaceae bacterium. RNAcentral's name for it is "bacterial SSU rRNA". It matches the Rfam family "Bacterial small subunit ribosomal RNA", at positions 1046 to 1382 of the family's 1533-position model. Lineage: Bacteria; Bacillati; Chloroflexota; Anaerolineae; Anaerolineales; Anaerolineaceae. The record is from RNAcentral.
UGGCUGUCGUCAGCUCGUGUCGUGAGAUGUUCGGUUAAGUCCGCCAACGAGCGCAACCCUCGCUGUGUGUUACAAGUGUCACACGGAACUGCCGGUCAUAAACCGGAGGAGGUGGGAUGACGUCAAGUCAGCAUGGCCUUUAUAUCCUGGGCUACACACACGCUACAAUGGGAAGGGACAAUAGGUUGCGAAGCCGCGAGGCGGAGCCAAUCCAGCAAAACUUCCCUCAGUUCAGAUUGCAGGCUGCAACUCGCCUGCAUGAAGUUGGAGUUGCUAGUAAACGCAGGUCAGCCAUACUGCGUUGAAUACGUUCCCGGGGCUU